AAGGCUCAUAGAGCAGCUAGUAAAAGGUUACUUCCGCAUGGGUGUUAACGAGCUGAAAAGUUUGAAUAGUAAACUGUUUGAAUAGGGCUGUCAAAAAUCAAAAGACAGGGACAAGAUACAGCUAUGCCUUGGCCACCAGGGGUCAGUAUGAUACUGUUCUGCUGACAGACGAAGAAGAGUGUCACACAACUAUUUGCCAUCAGGAUAAAGCAGACUUCAGGGAAGACCAUUUAUGCUAAUUAAUUAAGAAAGCAUCUGAUUAAUGAGAGGUAAGUGCUCCUAAUUACACACUCAACACAUUAAUCAAAGCUGAUAUCCAACCACAGUCGUUUUUUUUAAUUAUUAUUGAUGCACGCACUUGAAUUCAUUUGACUAAUGAAUCAUUGACAGACAUAGCACACCCAGCGGAUGACCUCGGGCGUUUUCUCACAAGAGACUUGUCGCCACUUAACACGCACACGCAACCACGUGCUCACAUCUCAAGGGUAUAAUUUUGCGCCGUGUUACAUGCGUGUUAAAAGGGGCCGCGGUCUGUCACAGCAGGGAAGAAGAGUCAUGUCAAGAUGAUGAAGUGGGAUUGUUGUCGAGGAAUGAGGAACAAAGUAGUUCUUAUGUGGCCCACGGGUCAACAAAGUUGUCGCAACAACCAUUUUGAACGAGUGAAGUAAUUUGACGCUGUAAUCAAAAUCAUUGUUACACUGAAUUGAUCAUCAUUGUCCUUUUCUUUGCCUGACACACAGUCAAGUCACACCGUUGCCGUUAAUCAUCAAUAACAAUACCUUAUUUGUCAGGGAGGAGUGUUUACAAUGGGACGUAGCCCACCCCACCUGUCCCACCUUCUGUCAAACCACCACAGUGUGUCAGUGUGCCACCAAUUACCCAGCGCAACUUGAAUGAGGUCAUAACGGGAUGGGGUCAUUAGCAAAACAAACCCGGCAACCCCCGUGGCGGUCGGGGUAGGGAGGCUUUUUGGAGGGAUCGGGGUGUGGGCGGAGGGAAGAGGUGCUCGAGGGGUAUGUGUCCAGUACCGGACUCGCUUUUUGUGUGUCUCAGUAACCCCAUCAGACUUUGUAGGAAGACAUGUGCGACCAUCAAAACCGAGGCAGUGGUUUUAUCCCUAAAAAAAUAUAUAUUCAUGGCCGACCCACAAAUCUUCUUUUCUGCAAUAUUUUGUAAUUAGUGAAUUUCAUCUUUAUAAAUAGCAUUCUGCAAAAAGGUUUACCAGAGGAUAUUAUACAUUAUAUAUAAUGCAAUGCAAUACAGGUGUGUCAUGAAAUAUUCCGAGGCUGCGGUUACAAGGUUUGUCAGUGAUCAUAUAAUUUAAAAUAGCCACGCUAAUAAAUGCUAGCAAAGCGCGUUGACAAAUAUUAGAUGCUAUUAGCGAGGAGCGAAGCCUGUCCGCUUUGCGCGCGCGUGUCUGCGGGUGCGCGUCCAUAUUUGUGUUUGUAUACCUCUAUUGUGACGCGUGUAAUCCACAUGCGCUCUAAUCCCAGAGCAGGUGGCCCUGCGUGUGGCGGCUGCGGGGGUUGCGUCGCGGGGCACACGCUCACGAGAUUGAGCCACAUCCACACAACAAAGCUCUGUGUUGUCCGCACUCACGUCGCUCUGUGUACCCCUUAAGCCCGGUGUGUACCGAGCGACGCGACCAAUCAGGUGUUUCGCCAAUUAAAAAAAAAUGGCCGCCUUACUGUGCCUCUUCCAAUCAAUUUAAUUGGUAAUGGGAAAGUGGCGAUAAACAGUUUAAAGGUGAUUUUGCGCACAGAUAGAAUACAUCGUAUUUAGUAAUCAAAUUCCUAAUAUUUUCUUAAAUUUACUUAACGCUACAAUCAAUUUCGCAUUGGAAAAAAAAACAAAUAAAAGGAUUGGACCGAGCUAGCAAGUCACUUCGUUAACAUCUGUUUGGCACACCCAUCUCGUGGAUGUGAUUUUGAGGAUUAAAUUGAUGUCAUCUGUUUCUCGCCAUCUCCCUGUCGCUCUUUGAUAAAGAGAUUUAUGAUGUGCACCCGCUAAUGGUCAUUCGUUAAAAGGGCGGGAGUGUUUUAUUGGCGGAACAUUCGUAAAUCCGUUCCAUUAUGGCUAAAUGGAUAGAAAGAACCAUUAAGUAGGCAUUACAUUUAUAGUAUUUUUAUUUUUUUUACAUAUUCUGGAUUUUUCUUGAAACCCGGAAUCGGAUUUGUGUAUGUUUUAGCAUUAAUAUAUUAGCGCCUAACUUCAUUGUGUGUUAAUGAUAAAAAAUAAUCUGUGUGAUUAUUCCUACAGAUAUGUGAGUGGCAUUUUUGGGAGUUGACUAAUGGAUACACAAAUACAGUUCUUCCUAUCCAGUAAAUUGCAAAUUGAAUCCCCGACGGCCGUUUUGCGUCUCGUGAAUUUCUGCAACGGACCGUCUCACUCCGGCACACAAGCGCCAUUGUCUCGCACAUUCAAAUGAGAUUCCACGAGUGGAGCAGCAGUGUUGUUGUCGUCGUCAUCGCGGAUGAAUUAUGUAUGCGCUGCCGUGUUGAUGUGUGAUAGAAUGUAGGACACAUACUUAUGCAUAACAAUAGUCUACAGUUGUGUUCUCACCAACAAAAUUGGCCGCUUAGCUCCCACGUUCGCUUUUUAAUGCCAUUGCUGCUACUCGCCUUUGACAGUUGCUCAGUUGCCCCGGUCUACUUUCACUCCUUUCUUUUGUUUCUGCAACAAACAAAAAAAAAAGUCACACAGCUGAUCUCAUAAUUAUACAAGUCUAUAUCAGCCCCCCCCCUGCUCCCUUUGUCCGUCCCAAUGGGACUUUUAUUCAAAAAUCGUCCGUUUUAAACGUUUCUUGAUGUGCGGCGUCGCGCCUUUCCUCGCUCCCAGACACUAAUUGACCUUUCACUUAUGAGACAUGUUA
This is a long non-coding RNA of Syngnathus acus (greater pipefish), 2872 nucleotides long. RefSeq lists it as uncharacterized. The transcript is spliced from 4 exons. The record is from RefSeq and is a predicted model, not a curated record. NCBI's taxonomy places the organism in Eukaryota, Metazoa, Chordata, Actinopteri, Syngnathiformes, Syngnathidae.